CCUACGUGCGACAGCAGUGAGGAAUAUUGGUCACUGGACGAGAGUCUGAACCAGCCAAGUCGCGUGAAGGAUGACUCCCCUCUGCGUUGUACACUUCUUUUAUAUGGGAAUAAAACGUUCCACGUGUGGGACUUUGUAUGUACCCUAUGAAUAAGCAUCGGCUAACUCCGUGCCAGCAGCCGCGGUAAUACGGAGGAUCCGAGCGUUAUCCGGAUUUAUUGGGUUUAAAGGGAGCGUAGGUGGAUUGUUAAGUCAGUUGUGAAAGUUUGCGGCUCAACCGUAAAAUUGCAGUUGAAACUGGCAGUCUUGAGUACAGUAGAGGUGGGCGGAAUUCGUGGUGUAGCGGUGAAAUGCUUAGAUAUCACGAAGAACUCCGAUUGCGAAGGCAGUUCACUGGACUGCAACUGACACUGAGGCUCGAAAGUGUGGGUAUCAAACAGGAUUAGAUACCCCGGUAGUC
RNAcentral lists this ribosomal RNA (460 nucleotides) under uncultured bacterium. RNAcentral's name for it is "partial 16S ribosomal RNA". It matches the Rfam family "Bacterial small subunit ribosomal RNA", at positions 338 to 795 of the family's 1533-position model. The record is from RNAcentral.